UACAGAGGUCUCAAGCGUUGUUCGGAUUCAUUGGGCGUAAAGGGUGCGUAGGCGGCGCGGUAAGUCGGGUGUGAAAUCUCGGAGCUUAACUCCGAAACUGCAUUCGAUACUGCCGUGCUUGAGGACUGGAGAGGAGACUGGAAUUUAUGGUGUAGCAGUGAAAUGCGUAGAUAUCGUAAGGAAGACCAGUGGCGAAGGCGGGUCUCUGGACAGUUCCUGACGCUGAGGCACGAAGGCCAGGGGAGCAAACGGG
Molecule: ribosomal RNA, 253 nt
Filed under: uncultured bacterium
Lineage: Bacteria
Description: partial 16S ribosomal RNA
Rfam family: Bacterial small subunit ribosomal RNA
Source: RNAcentral